GAACGCGUUGGCCCAAUUGAUUGAUGRUGCUUGCACCUGAUUGAUUUUGGUCGCCAACGAGUGGCGGACGGGUGAGUAACACGUAGGUAACCUGCCCAGAAGCGGGGGACAACAUUUGGAAACAGAUGCUAAUACCGCAUAACAACGUUGUUCGCAUGAACAACGCUUAAAAGAUGGCUUCUCGCUAUCACUUCUGGAUGGACCUGCGGUGCAUUAGCUUGUUGGUGGGGUAAYGGCCUACCAAGGCGAUGAUGCAUAGCCGAGUUGAGAGACUGAUCGGCCACAAUGGGACUGAGACACGGCCCAUACUCCUACGGGAGGCAGCAGUAGGGAAUCUUCCACAAUGGGCGCAAGCCUGAUGGAGCAACACCGCGUGAGUGAAGAAGGGUUUCGGCUCGUAAAGCUCUGUUGUUAAAGAAGAACACGUAUGAGAGUAACUGUUCAUACGUUGACGGUAUUUAACCAGAAAGUCACGGCUAACUACGUGCCAGCMGCCGCGGUAAU
Molecule: ribosomal RNA, 504 nt
Filed under: Limosilactobacillus fermentum
Lineage: Bacteria; Bacillati; Bacillota; Bacilli; Lactobacillales; Lactobacillaceae
Description: bacterial SSU rRNA
Rfam family: Bacterial small subunit ribosomal RNA
Source: RNAcentral